AAGUGAACACUUUGCUUAGAAAGCCAUUAUCGCCUUGAAAGCGAUAAGUGACACAUUUGCAGGCUGUAAAUAGAUUUGGAAGUGCAAGAUUUUAAAAAUGUGUAAAAAACAGCAUAAAUCAGCAUAAAAGAUUUAAAGCUAAAACUCAAGGUGUCUUAUUGUGUCCGGCAAUUAAAAAAGGGCCCAAGCCAGAACCAUACAAUUAUGGAAUAAUCUGAUUUGAUGUAUUUCAUCAAAAAUAAAACAAUGCUGUCAUCACUAGUUGGCCAGAUAAUAACGGAAUGUAUGAUAUCUUCAUCUGUAACCCUUAAUGCUGCAUGUGUAAUAUGACCUCAGUUUAUUCUUUAUGGAUCAUAUAAGCAGCCUGGACAGCCUAUCAAAAUCACGAGGCACAGAUGAAAAUAAAUGAUGUGUAUUUAUUGACUUGUCCCAGGGAAGUUAGUUAGUUUAGCGGCUGUGAAUAUUUGAUAUCGCUGGUUUUUACUCAUUUGUUUUUGCCUGUUUGAGUUGGAAACGUUUCACUUAACGAGAUGCAGGUCGCCGCCCACACAAACCGUUAAUAUUGGUCCUGUUGGCGUGAAGGGUCGGACAGGCCUGUAUUUUGCCUUCUGGCCUCCAAAUUGCGACAAGUGAUCCUCCACAGGCCUUGGUGAACAAAAUAAGCACCGCAUUAAUUAACACAACAUCUAUUGCUCAACAGGCAGAGCCAAACUUUGGUAAACUAUUUUUAAUUCGUACGUGAUUAAUUAAAUGACAUGACACUAGUUAAUAACUCAUUAAUUUUUGUAAUGUAUUUUCUCCUCUCAUUAAUUGUUGUACAAACACAUGUUCUCAGGGGCUGGUAGGCGGUCAUGUGACUCAGACCACAAUAUAUCACCCAUAGACUCAGUGCAAUUAACCUCAUGUUAAUUAUAACACACCUCUCAAUGGAGAGGACCAGAGCUAAUAAGGCACAGCAGAGGAUGAAUCACGCUGGCUUUAUAAUCGGACAGACUGGAAAGAACAAUGAAUAACUUAGCAAAAUAUAUCUUAAGCAUUAACAUUGAUAGAGUCUGCAUUACUGUAGAAGGAUUUUUACUCACCCAGACGUAUUCGCAGUAGGUUUUUGGACAGAGUCUCCGAACUACUCCAGUUAAAACGAAUUAAGAAAUAUUACUCGCCUCUCUAACCAAAAAGUAGCCAGUGUGUAUUUAAGCUGGUAAAAAUGUGGUCGUCUCUGUCAUGGUCUGUAAUAUGUCCAAUGUCAUUACCGCAGGUCAAACCAGUCCUAUUUAAACCAACAUCACUGACGCUCCAUUAGUGCAGGAGUCAGUGACUAUAAUCGUGUCCACAGUGACCUGACCAGAUUUUUCUGCUUUGGUAACGAAGCCUGAAGCCUCUGAGGACUCAAGUCUGGGUCAAUAUUUUGUGCAUUUAAGCUGCUUUUUCAAUGCACGUUAAAGAAAAAAGAAAAACUGCUGGCCAGAAGAGCAAACAUCUUUUUAUAGUCCUGUUUUGUCCAAAUUUAAGAUCAACUUCAAUCUUGGGAGCUUCAAUGCAGCAACUUUAAUCCCCCCCCCCCUCCGAUUUGUGGCUCAAUAUAUUCCCAUUUCUAUGUUUCUUCUUCCUGUUGGUUUGGUUUCUGCUCUGAUGUGCAUUCAGCUUUCGCUUUUCCAAAUCAUCUCCAGCCAAUUGAACACUUAACAGGUGGAUUCCAAACAAGGUGUAAGAAGAACAUUAAAGGGAUAAAUAUGCUCCCAACACUCCCUAAUACACUAAUAUUUCUUGCACCAAUUUGCCUUAAAGGCAGAGAGUAAAGAGAUACACUUCAAUACCCUGAUGCAAGGUGCACAUCAGAUUAACCGCCACUCAGAUUGUUUCUAUCAUUUGAUAAGUGAGAUUCUAGGUGCAGAAUCCAUCUGCUACGGCGUGAGGUGGGGUUAGAGAAUCUGGUCCUCUCUGUUCUUCCCUUAACCUAGAAUUGUUAACCUUCUGUCUCUCUAUAUCAAUCCACUUCAUGAUCUGCUUCUCCCCCCAUAUGAGAAAUUCUUCGGCUCUAGUCUCUGUCACACCACCUCAUCACGCUAUUUUUUUUCUCUCGCAGUGAAGCAGAAGCCAGCGCUGCAGAUGAACGGCAGGGAGGGCUCCCAGGAGGUCGGAUCACCAUCACGUCUCACACACACACACACACACACAGACUCCACUGUGGACCCUGAACUACACACGCCGGCAUAUCCAGUCAUUAUGUGGAGAGAAACCGUUCCGAGCCUCUCGAUAAUAAACUCUGAUAAACAGGUCGCGUGUGUUCCAUGUCAACACACACGGCUGGAUUGGAUUGUGCUAAAAUUAGAUGUAACCACAAAUUCCAGCUUCAUCUGUGAUUGUCAAUCAGACGAUUAGUGAUGCUGAAUGAAUAAAAGACGCUUGUCACUUUGGGAGAUAUGCUUGAUUGUUUUCCUGCCUUGUGAAUUGUAGCCGUCUUCCAUCCUGAACUCGUGAAAUGAGCCCGAGCUCAGACGGACACGGGGCGUUCAGCGUGCCGGUGAACCACACUGGUUUUAGGGUCCAAAAGUGAUAUUAAUUAAUCCGGCGGAACUGGUUUGGGAUUAAAUCUCGGUUCAUCUGGGGGUCCAAUUAAAAGGAUGACUGCAGUAAUCUGUCAGCAACAUAAAAUCCUCAAUUCUGAUUAACAAUCUUGAUCCUGGUGCAGCUGAUUAUUUUGGAGAUGGUGAGGUGUGAUGCUGUAUACAUACUGAACAGAACGAGGCCCUUUCUUAAAUACAAAUAACACCACAAAUUGUUUACAAAAUACACACAAUUUCCAAGGAAGUCAAUGUAAGUUACACUAUUUCUUUCCACCAGCAGUAAAUCAGGCAAAGAUAAGAAAUGUCACAUGAAUUAUAUCCACGUGUCCGGGAGAUAAACGGCCAACUGGGCAUUAGUUUAUAUUCCUUUGGUGUGACUCACAUUCUUUCUCUUUUCAACAGCACUUUUAUCAUGCUUUACAAAAAGAGUAUUUGGGAUUUUAAACAGUCUUACAAAGUCUUUGGUCUUUGUUGGCAUUUUCAUUCAUUUCAUUUUAGGAAAUCUCGGGCAGGCUUGGAUAUUGCUUAAGAGGGUGUUUAGGUAGAAACUUUUAUUUUGACGAUCUAUACCAAAGAAUACUACUAAAAUAUUUAUGUGAAAGACUUAAGAUGAAAUUAACACACAGCACACAGUGAAAUCAUCAUCCUUUUUUACUGUCUUAUUAACUUAUUAACGAUUGUUACCUUCUUGCAAAAGCAAUCAAUAAAUGAAAUGUGGCCUGUACAAAUGCUGAAGCUCACAAAUGUUGCACAGAAGAGGUAAAAAGGUCUAACCGAUUAAUAUGAAUGCGUGUAAAUGUAGACCAAUCUUACAAAACUUGUGAAUGAAUUCUAAUAGACCAGAUAACUGGGAUGUUAUUAGAACUGCAGUAAUGUUUUGGGCCCCUCAUGCCUAUUAAGAAUAAAACAUUCAUACUCUUGGAAGCAUUUUCCUCUUCAUGCAUAAAUCAAGUUUACUUAAAACUUUAAAUGACACCCUCCACUGUAUCCUUAUCAAGUGCCUGCUCAUUUACACCAAGUGUUCACACAUCCUACUCGACUUAAGACAUUAAUGUAACAGUGGCCACUUGACAGGCUCAACUGAUUACAGUUCAGCAUCACCGUCACAACCGCUCGGGUUCUGUGGGACUCUUUCACAGUUCCUAGCUGAUUAUUCUACUGCCACCAAUCUACUCUCAACUCUCCCCCGUGAAGCUGAAGGUGCUAGAUCCAAGAUUGGUACCCGUGAAGCCGAUGGUGCUGGAUCCAAGAUUGGCAGCGUUCCAGUUACCGCUCAACAUGGCCGGCGUCUCGCGGCCAACAGAGCCAUCAAUGCAGAGCGAUCCGCGUCAACGGUCCUGGGAGAGGUAACAGUGUUUACCUGAGGGGGAACCAGGCGUAUAAUGUAACGGUUCCUGCCAUAUUAGAUCAUUGCAAAGCAGGCGCCGUCGCUCUGUGCUCCGCUCAGAUGUACAUCACUCUACUAUAUCUUUUAAAAGUACUCUAGACACUGAAAUGACACUCGCUAAAGACCAUUUCAUCCUCAACUGUACGAGGAAAUACAACUGGAUUAGUGACGGAUUAGAGGCUUUCUCUUUUAUAUGAGGUUAUCAGUUGGGAAGGUCACGUCCUCUGUAGGUUUCUCAGGGGCUUUGUGGAACCAGCACUUGUAAACAAUUAGCUCGAGCAGAAGGAAUUCUUGAAAUGACCACAGACAUUGUUAGGGAAAUUAGGAAAUGGCCUUUCCCCGUCCUGUGUACGAGCAUGGACGACCCUUGUUGCUAACUUGCUAAAAUAGUAUUGAGUGGAUCUUUGUUGGUUUCCCAUUUACAGACCCUGCGCAAUGGGUUGGAAUAGUCACUCCACUUUAAAAUAUGAACUAGAGGUAAUUUGCUGAACCAAAUUAUGUUGUCUUCCUUCGGAGGACAGUGUCAUUCUUUCGGGUUGGUUUCCUGAAUAAUUCUUUAGCUUACUUAUCUUACUCUUCUUUUGAAAGUAAGUUAUUAUAUGCAGUAAAGGAAGCAAAUUAUCGCUCACCACCUGUAAAGGGCCUACAGUUGACCUUCCCUUUUCAGCCAAAAUGUACAUCUGGAAAUAACCCCCCCCUCCCCCCUUCCCCGAGGGCAACAUGAGAAGAUUGAUACCUCAAACCUGUACAGUUGAUAUGAGACAGCAGCCACCAUUUAAAAUAGUUUAGUUUCGCUUUGCAUCAAAAUUGAAACAUAAUCUCACUAACUGCACAUUUUAAGCAAUUUAAUUUAACAUGUUAGAUCCAGUUUGUUUCAUUCCCACAGAAAGUUGUCUUUUUAACAUUCUUUAAUUGCUAACCUCAACCUUGUCUAAGUAGUCAUUUGCAUAUAUCUUUGAAAUGGACGUUGCUAUCAGGACACGGUGUGGAAUGGCUUUAAUAGACAAUGUUCACAAAGUCUGAUUUUGAAUGUGUAACCGGGGUAUUGUUGCUAUGGUUACCUGCAGGGCUUUUUCCGUUCUCUCAUUUAGGAUGGCGUUAAAAUGAGUGAUUGUUCAAAUGUGAGCGUGGACGUUCAUAUUCUAUCUUUUAGAACAGCACAGUAUGUGAAAUAAAAAAAUCUAAAUCUAGAUAAUUAGAAACUUUUAACGACAACUCAUUGUCAUCUUCAGCAAGUGGACCCGUCCACUUGUCUCACACUGUCGUUCUUGACACCUGGCAAAUUACGAACAAAACAAGUAUGCUCUUCUCACAGCUUCAGGUAAAUCAAACAGAAUAAGAUCCUCCCAUUUGUGUCGUCAGCUCAUCAUCUGUAAAAAAACGUACGAGCUUUGGUUUGACUUUGCACUUUAAAAUUCAAACAAUAAUAAACAUAUUAUAUCCACUUGUUUCAAUUGGUUGCUAGUUAUUAAAAUAAUCGUUAUUUUACUACGUAGAUAUCUUCAAUCAUUUUUAUGCCUUUUAUGCUCAGCUUUAUUCUAAUGUAAAAAACAGUACUUUACCGUUUUUGAAAGCUUGUUGUACGUCGCUUGAAGUAAAACCACUUCCAUCGAAGGAAGAAUUAAUAAAUAUAUAAUUGAAAGCCUCUGCAAACAACCAAGCAGGUGGAAAAAACACCUGAACGUCUAGAGGCUAGAGGCAUGGUGUGAGACAAAGAUCUACACACUGACUCGUUAGUGAAGUGUGCUAGACAGUGAAUACUGACAACGUUGUUGUAUUGAUCUCAUGUAUUGAUCUCUUCCACUAACCUUUUGCAAAAAAAAAAACAUUUUCCCAAAACAUCCUCAUAAUUCUUUGAGAAGAAACGACAAUAAGUGAAAAGUGGAAAAAUUAAAUAAACCCGUCAUUUAAAAAUAAAAGCAAAAUUGAAGAUUUAUCUAUUUAGAAAUCCCCAGUGAGAUCACCACCUUCCCUCCAACUCGACAUCAGUCACAUCUUGUGGCUUGGUGAGACCCAAAUGAAGCAGAGGCGCUGUUUGUUCCCGUGUUUUUACUGGAAGAAGUGCGGGACGCCAAAAUCUGUCUAGUCAAGUGAGCCGAGCCAUUGGGAGGCUGUUUGGGGUUGACUGCCCCCACUUCCUCUUGGUAAUGGAAAAAGCCACACUGGGAGUCGAGAUAAAGAAUGGGAAGCAGAAUUCACACACUGCGUCUCAAUUCCCUUCGGGUUUGGGCCCCAGCGUGCACGAGGCACAUUUUGGUCCAUGCAAACCUAUUUAUUCUCAGAGAGUGUAUUCAUUUGAUUCAUAAUACUUUUUAAAGAGUGUCGGUUUUGAUCUUUCAGCCAAUCAUCAUUAACUGCACGCUCUCUCCGCGCGCCACUCGUCUGCAAAGCGAGCUGAUUGAGGCGUCUUAAUGCCGCCGCGGUUUCCCACGAACGAGAAAGACGAUGGGCUUCAAUCUUCCACGCGCCGCCAAGAGAGGGACGGAGGGAACCGGGUUCCUCCGGGAGUUCGAUGCAUUGUUCCAGUCAAUAUAUCGAUGCAUGUUUGAGACUGAUCCAAGGGUAAAAUCCCCCCGGGACAGAGGUAAGAAGAGCAGCGGAGACAGGGGUGUUUGUGUUCGUUUGUCCUCUACUCGGUGAGACGUGUACGUGCUUCCUGCCACCCGCUCAUGAAUAAUGAAUGCUCACACAGGCCACGCCGACCUCUCUGAGAUUACGUCAGGCGAUGGAUUUGUUUGAGAAGCACUUGACCUUGCCUUUCGCCGUGUCAUUGGCGUUUGUGCGAGGUGGCCGCGUCACAGGCAGGCGCCAGCGGAAAAAGUUAGCUGCCACGAAAAUGCCUCCUCGGAGCUUUUGGCAGCCGGGACUUGUUUGUCCUGCAGUUCAAACAGUUAUUCAAUUAUGCGAUUUCUGCCCGGUGUUUGAUUUCAGCCAAGCGUCCCCAUCUGUUUACAGUAAUUUACCUGAAGAUGUCUUAUUAUAUAUGAAAAGGCUCUUCACUGAACGUGUUGUUUAUCUAAUUUACUAUAAUAAGAUUGCAGCUCAUUCAAAUGAAUUGACCGCCUUUUUCCUCCAACUUUCUCCCCAUUACUGUAACUUUUAAUGAAGCCUGAUGUUCAUGCAGAGGUACGUGUACAGAAGGCAUAAACAGUUGCUACGGUGCGUCAGUGUUCUCUCUGGUCCUCCACCCUCAAGAAAUAGAAACAUUCUGCGCGAGGACUGAUUUGCAUGUGGAUCCCGUAUCAACAGCCGCACACUAAGCUGCAUGUAAGACAUCGUGAGAAUGCUGUUGUUUCAAAUCACCUGUGAAGGGAUGAAGGAAGCAGACAGCGUGCCAACAAAUGCCCUUGAGCAAAGCAUUUAAAAGCUCUUGAUGAAGAUUUGACCUCGAGGUUGACCUUUACUCUUUUAUUUUACGCAGGUUUCACACUCUCUGAAGGCCCCUCAUCUCCACAUCCCCAAGCACUGAAAUUAUGAUGGACGUAUGAAGAUUUGAAGAAAAACAACCUUUUGCAGGCCCAGAGGCCCUUGCUGUAUAAUAUUUUUGUAUAAUAGGAUAUAAUAUUUCUCAGAUGAAAAUAUUACUAUGGGUAUGCCAACUAUCCAGACUGUGAAGUCUGGCAUUCCAGCACGUAGCCUGAUUCCGUAGGAUCAUUUAUAGUAAUACAUCCUCAAAUGACUCGCAAAGGAAGAUUAAAAAAAGAGCUUUUGGAUCUUUUUUUCCUAUUUUCUUACAUCUCUUUAAUCUAACUCCUGAUAAUGAUCCCCUACCCGUCUCCCUUCGUUGGUAAGCCCUUAAAAUGGAGAUUUUAUUUUUAUUAUUAAAUGAGCUCAUCUCUGUGAGAUCUGAACACUCAUGGAGGCUGAACUAUUUCAGCCUCCAUGAGUUCAGUGUUGCAUUUAGCACUGCAUUUAAGAAUAUAUAUAUAUAUAUAUAUAUAUAUAUAUAUAUAUAUAUGAGGGGUUUUAAAUGAGAUUCCUCCUUAUGGGGACUGUCCAGAUAGUCUUUAGCGUAUUCUCAAUAACAAUCUGGGCAAUUAGUAAUUAGUCAGUAUAUAAUUUCAAACUUGUUCAGGGCCUCAGACUGCAAAUACUGUAUAUGUGAAGACCUACAGGCAGAAUUGGGGCCGGGUCUCUAUUGAUGUACAUUCAACUAGUAGGUCACUUAGAUGAGUUUGUUCAGAUUGAUCAAAAAAGUACCAACUUGCAUUCCGCAAAAUAGCAUUUUAUGAAAAAGACUGUUGGUGCACAUGGCAUGUCAAACACAAACAUAGGUGUACAACAGUAGGCACGUAACCCUAACCCCUAAUGACAUGACCUCACAUUCAUUGAGACUUGAAAAAUACAGAAAAACUGAAUUUCAUUAGCUCGUGUUACCCUUGUGUGAUUGCGUUCUCCUUUAUUGCACAAGGAUUGCAGGUGUUCACUUUGCCGACAGGUGGGAAUCCAGAAUAAGCUUGAGUGGUUUAACUGAGGUACAUGGAAAGUGUAAGAAAAGUAUGAAACAAAAAGGUGAAAUCUGAGUAAAUGUGGUGGUGCAGUCGCUCCAAUCCACCAAGGGCUCGAAUGGAUACGAUGUGCAGUGUGGCUUGAAGUUGGGGCACGUUCAAGUUGAAGUUGCUCAGCGUGCAGAUCAAUACGUCCCAUUCCCUGAUAUCAUAGUUUGGAAGCACAACAGAAAAUGCUCCCGAUGUGAUUUUCAUCCAAACUGCAUGAAUGUCAACUCUGCUGCUGGCGAGGCCGCCCCUCAUCUGGAUUUGAUGGCCAAAUCAAUAUACAUUUAGUGGGCCGUGUCACCCCCGUAAAUGAAUCAUACAUGCAAUCCCUUAAGGAAUGUUUAUGUCCGUCAUAUGCGGGUUGCUUCAAACUGUGAUUUUUGAUCUCCUUAUUGUGGUCAAUCCAGCAAAAACCACAACCGACCAUGUCUCCUAGUAAUUAUGUUUUUUACCACCAAAUGGUUUUCCGAAUUAUGCUGUCCAGACAAAUGUAAUUACGGCCUGAAUUACACUCAAUUUACCAGAACAGCACUGUGGGUUGCCGGUGCUUAGGUUAUGGCAUCCAAAGCAUAAUAUUUGGGAAAUAUUCUUUGAAAUAUUGAUCACAUUGUGUGUUUGUGAUUCCAGUUAAUGUGGACUUCUUCUCAUGAACCGAGACUGUGAUCGUUCUCCAAUCUUAACCAAAGACCUUCCAGUGCCUCGACAUUUCCAUGAAAAAAGCUGAAUGAUGCUGUUUUCAUUGCAAAUAGAAAACAUAACAUCAAGAUUGGUAUUUCAGUACAUAAUAAUAAUAAUAAUAAUAAUAAUACAACUCAUGUAUUUACAGUAUGCCUAAGAAUAAAACAUUUUGCAAAAUUUAAUUCCACCAUAUCUUUUAGUAAUUUGGCAAAAUAAAUGCACAUUUUGUUAGUUGCCCUGUACGUCAUGGCCCAACAUGUCGUUUAAAUUUCUCCAACCAAUCGUUUCAGCAGAUCUCCACCGUGGUUGAUGCUUUUUUGUUUUUUUAUCAUCCGCAGAAGUGUUGGUUGGAAAUGACAACCUGCGCGCUCGUCCCUCGACGCGUCCCGCUUUGAGAGGCUUUGCCUCUCCGACGCUUCCCCAGCCGCCACGUGAAAUCAGAGAGCAGCAGCGUUCAAAGGAAAGGCCGCACCCCCCCCCCCCCCCGUCGAAACAAUCCACAUGACGCAACACUGGAAGUCAGGUUGGUGUUAGCUGGACAUGUAUUAUUCAUAGGCAGAGCAAGUGGAGGGGAGACAACCGUAAAUCUAUUUUUACUCUUUUACUCAUAGGGGAUGAGGAAUACCCCAAUGUCUGUCAAACAAACAGAGAAACUCUCUCUCUCAGUCCCAGGAUGCAUGAGCACAUUGACCCGUAUGCCAAAACACCCGAGGGGCUUGUUUCUGUGUUCUACUCUGCAGCUCGAGGAUCACUGGAUCUUGACAACACAACAAAGAAAAAGCUGUGAAUUUUGUCUCACGCGGCGUUUAUUACGUUUGAUCACGGUACUUGAAGUGCAGCAUUAUUUCAUUAGAGGCACUUUUUUAAGCAAUGAAAGGGCCCAGAUGUUGAUGGUGAAAAUCACUUCAACGCCAACGCGUUGUUGUCUGAGCCCUAAUUAUGUAGCAACGAAGCGUCUAGUUUGGUUCUUGUUACAAUUGUGCUCUUCAGACAGAGUUCCACUGUGAAUCGUGGUGGAGAAACCAGCAGUUUCUUUCCUAACCCCAAAUUUACUUGGCAGAACAGGCCUCUUGUGGCCGAGGGGCGAUUUAUUUAUCUUUUUCCUCCAUUAGUCGAGUCUGUCGCUAGACUGUUUGUCUUGGAUGUAUGUGCGUCGCUACGGGAUGGAGGACCCGAAUGUAGACCCUGAGGCAACGGAGGGAGAAUAAAAUGGACUUUUUCUAAAUCAGCGAUGAAAUGAACAGGCCGACAGUCAAGAAUCCACAGGGGCGAGUAAGGUGGGCAGGUGAUAAAUAGACAGCAGGUCAGAACACAAGGAGCCGUGUCAGGUGGAAAACCAGGCGCAGAGGUGCAGUGCAAAUGCUUAAAAAAAAAAAAAAGGGGGGAACUGGUGAGCUGGUUGCAGACGCUGAAGACCUGUGGAGAGAAUGCAAGACGCGUCCGGAUGAGGAUGUUGUGGGAGUCAGGUGAGCGGAAUUGGGGGGGGCGGAAUCUGGUCUACCGGUGGAAAAUAAAUCUGGAAAUUUCUCCAGAAGUGGGACGUGAGGGAAGUUAGAAGAGGCUGGACUGAAGCAAAAUAUACAUUUCUGUCAUGUGGCUACUUGUUGACUGUAUGUAGGAGCCCGCCUCCACUGAUUACUCAUUACGAGUCACUCUGUGUAAGAGCAUCUGUUUUAAUGGCGCCGUUGAAAAGCCGGAUCUGGACUUUAAUGAAAUAGUUUACUCGAAUGUGAGUUUGUGUAAAUUACAGGCCGCUGUAACUCAAAGGGCACAGAGUGCUGGUCGUGAGUGGGCUGCAAUUUUGAAAAACCCGUGUGGCACAUGGACCACUUCCAUACGCAUUCAUUACUUUCCACUCCAACAAAAAUGAAAGCCGUGCUGCAAAUGGGACAACACGUCUUUUUGUGUGUGUGUGUGUGUGUGUGGCACUACUCCCACACGACUCCUUUCAAUCUUCAAACUAGCUGCUAGAUGCCAACAAAUCUGGCACAUUGCACCCUUUUUAAUGACAAGCGUGGAAAUGAUGUACUUCCUCUUUACUGUUGAUGGAGGUUCGCCCUCGUGCUGAGAUGUUGCUCAAAUACAGACUCCCACUCAAAAGAUAGAUCCGCUUUAUCAGCAUCAGAUUAUUUCAUUUUGCACACGUCUUCAUUGCUAACAGGCUUUUAUUAUCAGAUUGUGCAUUUACAACAACAGUAUGUAUUGUAGCCGUGCGCUUGAAGUUCUUCACUGCACCAACCAAAGUGAACCAAUCCUCUGACACAGUAUCUCACACAACAGCGUGUACAUAACAGACAGCGUUGAUUUAUCACUCUCAUUAUGCCAGGCUGAAACAACGAGCAGAGAGCAAAAUGAGAGGGUGAGAAACGCGCCUGAAAGGAAAGUUUUACAAGCGUUGGGUCAUUAAUCUCAACCUGCUCCCCACAUCUAACGUCUCUCUUUCCUGUUGAAACAUUAACACUCUUUAAUCUAGAAGAACCCAAUUAAAAGCAGCUCAUGUCCCACAAAAGUUCUCUGCCACCCAAACUCUGCACCACAGACACCAUCUCCUCCACCUCCGAAGGAAGCCUGCAGCAUGUGCUCUGCAGACCUUUUUUCAUCACGACUGGGAGGAGAAACAAGCCAAGAAAUGUGUAAAUGUUUUUAAAUGGAUCUCCUUUUC
Molecule: long non-coding RNA, 11787 nt
Organism: Gasterosteus aculeatus aculeatus (three-spined stickleback)
Lineage: Eukaryota; Metazoa; Chordata; Actinopteri; Perciformes; Gasterosteidae
Source: Ensembl